RNAcentral lists this ribosomal RNA (468 nucleotides) under uncultured bacterium. RNAcentral's name for it is "partial 16S ribosomal RNA". It matches the Rfam family "Bacterial small subunit ribosomal RNA", at positions 28 to 507 of the family's 1533-position model. The record is from RNAcentral.
GACGAACGCUGGCGGCGUGCUUAACACAUGCAAGUCGAACGGAAAGGCCCUGCUUUUGUGGGGUGCUCGAGUGGCGAACGGGUGAGUAACACGUGAGUAACCUGCUCUUGACUUUGGGAUAACUUCAGGAAACUGGGGCUAAUACCGGAUAGGAGCUCCUGCUGCAUGGUGGGGGUUGGAAAGUUUCGGCGGUUGGGGAUGGACUCGCGGCUUAUCAGCUUGUUGGUGGGGUAGUGGCUUACCAAGGCUUUGACGGGUAGCCGGCCUGAGAGGGUGACCGGCCACAUUGGGACUGAGAUACGGCUCAGACUCCUACGGGAGGCAGCAGUGGGGAAUAUUGCACAAUGGGCGGAAGCCUGAUGCAGCAACGCCGCGUGCGGGAUGACGGCCUUCGGGUUGUAAACCGCUUUCGCCUGUGACGAAGCGUGAGUGACGGUAAUGGGUAAAGAAGCACCGGCUAACUACGUG